Long non-coding RNA from Drosophila navojoa, 805 nucleotides. NCBI's taxonomy places the organism in Eukaryota, Metazoa, Arthropoda, Insecta, Diptera, Drosophilidae. The record is from RefSeq and is a predicted model, not a curated record.
UUAGUCGGUUUGUGUACGCGCCGGGGUUCAGUUGUGUUUAUGUUUCGGGUGUGAGCGUUGGCAUAUUGCAAAAUUUACCGUUAGCAUUUACGUGCGCCGGCAGGAGCAACAGCAAGCAAAUAUUUGAAUGUGCCAAAGCUGUUAGUAUCGCUGGGUCUCUCGCUAUCUCUCUGUCCCUCUCUCUCAAGUGCCAUAAAUUAAAUUGUGCUUAAAAAAAUUUUAAAGCCCGCCAGCAUCACCCUGUGAGUGAAUUGGCUUCCUGCAUUUGUGUAUGUGCUUGUGCCUGUUCGUGUAUGUGUUUGUCGCUUUUCACAUUGUCUCGCAUUCGCGCGCGCAAUUUGGCUGCCGGUGUAUUGUGUUAAUCUGAGUGUGUGUGUGUGUGUAUCUGUGUAUGUGCUGCAAUUUGCACCCAAAUGAUUUACCGUUUGAUUGCUAUCAACGCUUGCCGCAAUUAUGUUUUAAUUGUCGUUAAAUGGUUUACACACAACGGGAUUAGCUGCAGCCCUUUGCGACAGUCAAAUUAAACCAUUCGCUGCGAGGGCAACAAAAAUUAACACAAAUGUAUCAUAAAGUGACAUAUCUCGAUGCAGACUACCCGAGAGGAAAUGCCAACUGCACAGAGCCUUUGAGCAACCCCAAGGACAUGGACACGUGUUAAACAUCCUUAUCGACAGUCAUUAUCAGUCAGCAGCGGGGCCAGCAUGCCGAACCUUCAUCAUGUCGACUACAAUCGGAAAUAUUCCGCAACGGAAACGAUACAGCUUCCGCCCCAAGUGGCACGCGACCUGAACUGGCUGUCCAGCCC